AUUGCCUCAGUAACGGCGAGUGAAGCGGCAAAAGCUCAAAUUUGAAAUCUGGCACCUUCGGUGUCCGAGUUGUAAUUUGAAGAAGGUAACUUUGGAGUUGGCUCUUGUCUAUGUUCCUUGGAACAGGACGUCACAGAGGGUGAGAAUCCCGUGCGAUGAGAUGCCCAAUUCUAUGUAAAGUGCUUUCGAAGAGUCGAGUUGUUUGGGAAUGCAGCUCUAAGUGGGUGGUAAAUUCCAUCUAAAGCUAAAUAUUGGCGAGAGACCGAUAGCGAACAAGUACAGUGAUGGAAAGAUGAAAAGAACUUUGAAAAGAGAGUGAAAAAGUACGUGAAAUUGUUGAAAGGGAAGGGCUUGAGAUCAGACUUGGUAUUUUGCAAGCCUUACCUUCGUGGUGGGGUCCCCUGCAGUUUACUGGGCCAGCAUCGGUUUGGAUGGUAGGAUAAUGACUUGGGAAUGUGACUUUGCUUCGGUAAAGUGUUAUAGCCCUUGUUGAUACUGCCUGUCUAGACCGAGGACUGCGUCUUUGACUAGGAUGCUGGCAUAAUGAUCUUAAGUCGCCCGUCUU
Molecule: ribosomal RNA, 565 nt
Filed under: Debaryomyces sp.
Lineage: Eukaryota; Fungi; Ascomycota; Pichiomycetes; Serinales; Debaryomycetaceae
Description: LSU rRNA
Rfam family: Eukaryotic large subunit ribosomal RNA
Source: RNAcentral